UGUCCCUUUCCUUUUCCUUCCUAAGCUCCUACAGAGGAUUAUUCAAGGUAAGAAUGAAAAAUGAAAGUGUUAAAAUGUUAAAGUGCUUUAGAAGAAGACUAUGAAAAACUAAAUUAUAAAUGGUAAACUAGAGUUAUGCGAUGAUGCUGGACGAAAUGAUUGUUAAUUUGAACCAUUAUUAACAUUUAACUUUGGAUUUUGUUUUUGUAUUGACCAAGGAACAUGACAGCUUUUACUCCAUUUACUUUUCCAAGGUUAUUUUUCCAGUUCUCUACAGAGGCCUACUGAGAAGGAACAUGAAAGCACAGCUUUUACUUCAUUUACUUAUCCAAGCUGUUCUGCUAUUUGAUACUUUAGCAUGGGAAGUGAAAAUGCCAAAAGACAUUCAUGGCCUCCAGGGUUCCUGUCUGGUUAUACCAUGUUCUUUCUCUUACACAUCAUACCCACCCGAAAACCCACGUCGAGUUGUGUGGUAUCAGUGGGUCUCUAAAGGUUAUCCUUUAGUUUAUGAUCUUCUGCAUGCAGAC
This is a long non-coding RNA of Megalobrama amblycephala (Wuchang bream), 527 nucleotides long. RefSeq lists it as uncharacterized. NCBI's taxonomy places the organism in Eukaryota, Metazoa, Chordata, Actinopteri, Cypriniformes, Xenocyprididae. The transcript has 4 exons. The record is from RefSeq and is a predicted model, not a curated record.